This 886-nucleotide long non-coding RNA is filed under the name Gossypium barbadense (sea-island cotton). RNAcentral describes it as "long non-coding RNA (GBAR_LNC019542)". The record is from RNAcentral. Lineage: Eukaryota; Viridiplantae; Streptophyta; Magnoliopsida; Malvales; Malvaceae.
UUUUAUAAAAUUACUGCUACUCUGGUUUAAUAAAGAUACAAAUUAUUCACCACAAGUUGUUUACAUUUGUAGCUGCUGAUUUAAUUAUGAAUUAAUAAAAAAAACUAGAAUGAUUAUUGCUUUCUUGUAAAAAAGUAAACACCCAUCUGUCAUCGUGCUAUUGGAUUAAACAAAGAACAAACAAAUAGUCGGGCACAAGGGACUUUAGAGAAAUCAUUGGCCCUAAUAAACAGCUUUGGAAUUUUGAGUAAUGUAUAUACAUUGGUGUCAGCUCCAUGGCCACUAGACCAAGAUUUUGAAGAUUAAACCAAGGGAAGUUGGAUAUGUGCAUUAGUUGACACAGAUUCCAUCCUUAUCAGUGGUCCCAAAAGUGCAAAUGCAUGCCAGCGUUGUCACCCCCUCUUUUAUCAACCACCACAACAGACUUUGAUCCUCCAAGCCUUGAGAGUUGAUGAUGAUUGGACCUUGAAACAGAUUGCAAAACAUAUAUAUUUUUUAAUUAAUUCAGUGCUUAAUUAAGAAUUUCAAGCUGGUUUAUACAGUAAUUUCAUUGCUGUUUCUUGUUCUAAAAUUUGCAACAAGGGCAUGUGGCAAGAAUCACUGUCGUAAAUGAGUAUUGGAAUCAUCAUAUUUUAAGCUCUCAAAUGGCAAUUAAAAAAAUGAAAAAAAGUUGAGUCUAUCAGGUAUAUCCAUGGAAGUUGAGGUUGAGAAUUGAUAGAAAAAGGCAGAGAGAGAAAUACCUUAUCUGAAAGUUUUCGUUUUCGAGUGUAGUCCAAGGCAGCAUUUGCUUCUCUUGGCGGCAUUAAAGAGACCAAAAACUAAUUUUCCUCCACUCAUAAACAACACCCCUAUCUGCUUUGCAAAAGCCAACAAUUCCUUUUCUCUC